This 468-nucleotide ribosomal RNA is filed under the name uncultured Alphaproteobacteria bacterium. Its description in RNAcentral is "bacterial SSU rRNA". It matches the Rfam family "Bacterial small subunit ribosomal RNA", at positions 9 to 524 of the family's 1533-position model. The record is from RNAcentral. Lineage: Bacteria; Pseudomonadati; Pseudomonadota; Alphaproteobacteria.
GAGUUUGAUCGUGGCUCAGAACGAACGCUGGCGGCAGGCUUAACACAUGCAAGUCGAACGCCCCGCAAGGGGAGUGGCAGACGGGUGAGUAACGCGUGGGAAUCUACCCAGAUCUUCGGAACAACUGAGGGAAACUUCAGCUAAUACCGGAUACGCCCUACGGGGGAAAGAUUUAUCGGUUCUGGAUGAGCCCGCGUUGGAUUAGCUAGUUGGUGGGGUAAUGGCCUACCAAGGCGACGAUCCAUAGCUGGUCUGAGAGGAUGAUCAGCCACACUGGGACUGAGACACGGCCCAGACUCCUACGGGAGGCAGCAGUGGGGAAUAUUGGACAAUGGGCGAAAGCCUGAUCCAGCCAUGCCGCGUGAGUGAUGAAGGCCUUAGGGUUGUAAAGCUCUUUCAGUGGGGAAGAUAAUGACGGUACCCACAGAAGAAGACCCCGGCUAACUUCGUGCCAGCCGCCGCCGUAAG